GGCUUUAUAUUCAAAAUUGAUUUUAAAUUGCAAAUUUAAAGGUGGGUUAUUCCUAAGGCUU
RNAcentral lists this transfer RNA (61 nucleotides) under Tenomerga trabecula. RNAcentral's name for it is "tRNA-Cys". The record is from RNAcentral. Lineage: Eukaryota; Metazoa; Arthropoda; Insecta; Coleoptera; Cupedidae.